CGUGCUCAGGGACAAGCACAGGUCAUCAGGAUGAUGAUCAGGACUAUCGCAAGACGCGAUCCAUCAGGACGAUGAGUUGGGAAACAAAGGGAUUAGGGAAUAAAAGCGGGCGGCGCAAGCCGCCCCUUUUUUU
RNAcentral lists this small RNA (133 nucleotides) under Ectopseudomonas guguanensis. Lineage: Bacteria; Pseudomonadati; Pseudomonadota; Gammaproteobacteria; Pseudomonadales; Pseudomonadaceae. The record is from RNAcentral.